GGAAAUGUGCCUGAAUCAAAGGGCUAUUUUGAUAGAGUAGACCAUAGGAACGACACUUCCUCAUUUCCC
This 69-nucleotide transfer RNA is filed under the name Varanus storri. RNAcentral's name for it is "tRNA-Ile". The record is from RNAcentral. Lineage: Eukaryota; Metazoa; Chordata; Lepidosauria; Squamata; Varanidae.